RNAcentral lists this ribosomal RNA (375 nucleotides) under uncultured organism. Its description in RNAcentral is "partial 16S ribosomal RNA". It matches the Rfam family "Bacterial small subunit ribosomal RNA", at positions 527 to 896 of the family's 1533-position model. The record is from RNAcentral.
GUAGGUGGCAAGCGUUGUCCGGAAUUAUUGGGGCGUAAAGCGCGCGCAGGCGGUUCUUUAAGGCUGAUGUGAAAGCCCACGGGCUCAACCGUGGAGGGUCAUUGGAAACUGGAGAACUUGAGUACAGAAGAGGAAAGCGGAAUUCCACGUAUAGCGGUGAAAUGCGUAGAGAUGUGGAGGAACACCAGUGGCGAAGGCGGCUUUCUGGUCUGUAACUGACGCUGAGGCGCGAAAGCGUGGGGAGCAAACAGGAUUAGAUACCCUGGUAGUCCACGCCGUAAACGAUGAGUGCUAAGUGUUAGGGGGUUUCCGCCCCUUAGUGCUGCAGCUAACGCAUUAAGCACUCCGCCGUGGGGAGUACGGCCGCAAAGGCUG